UACGGAGGAUCCAAGCGUUAUCCGGAUUUAUUGGGUUUAAAGGGUGCGUAGGCGGAUUGAUAAGUUAGAGGUGAAAUGUCCGAGCUCAACUCGGGAACUGCCUCUAAUACUGUUGAUCUAGAGAGUAGAUGCGGUAGGCGGAAUGUAUGGUGUAGCGGUGAAAUGCUUAGAGAUCAUACAGAACACCGAUUGCGAAGGCAGCUUACCAAUCUAUAUCUGACGUUGAGGCACGAGAGCGUGGGGAGCAAACAGG
This 253-nucleotide ribosomal RNA is filed under the name uncultured bacterium. RNAcentral's name for it is "partial 16S ribosomal RNA". It matches the Rfam family "Bacterial small subunit ribosomal RNA", at positions 524 to 776 of the family's 1533-position model. The record is from RNAcentral.